GCGGAUGUGGUCCAGUGGUAGGACAGUAGCUUCCCAAGCUACCGGCCCGGGUUCAAUUCCCGGCAUCCGCA
Molecule: transfer RNA, 71 nt
Filed under: Halolamina salifodinae
Lineage: Archaea; Methanobacteriati; Methanobacteriota; Halobacteria; Halobacteriales; Haloferacaceae
Also listed under: 2 other names
Rfam family: tRNA
About the family: Transfer RNA (tRNA) molecules are approximately 80 nucleotides in length. Their secondary structure includes four short double-helical elements and three loops (D, anti-codon, and T loops).
Source: Rfam by way of RNAcentral